UAAUUGAAGAGUUUGAUCAUGGCUCAGAUUGAACGCUGGCGGCAGGCCUAACACAUGCAAGUCGAACGGUAACAGGGAGCAGCUUGCUGCUCUGCUGACGAGUGGCGGACGGGUGAGUAAUGUCUGGGAAACUGCCUGAUGGAGGGGGAUAACUACUGGAAACGGUAGCUAAUACCGCAUAACGUCU
RNAcentral lists this ribosomal RNA (187 nucleotides) under Cronobacter sakazakii. Its description in RNAcentral is "partial 16S ribosomal RNA". It matches the Rfam family "Bacterial small subunit ribosomal RNA", at positions 1 to 181 of the family's 1533-position model. The record is from RNAcentral. Lineage: Bacteria; Pseudomonadati; Pseudomonadota; Gammaproteobacteria; Enterobacterales; Enterobacteriaceae.